GAAGAGGUGAUUCAAGUGGGAAAAUGCCUGCCUAGCAAGUAGGAGGUCCUGGGUUCAAAUCCUAGUUCA
This 69-nucleotide transfer RNA is filed under the name Dipodomys ordii (Ord's kangaroo rat). It matches the Rfam family "tRNA". Rfam says of the family: Transfer RNA (tRNA) molecules are approximately 80 nucleotides in length. Their secondary structure includes four short double-helical elements and three loops (D, anti-codon, and T loops). Further hydrogen bonds mediate the characteristic L-shaped molecular structure. tRNAs have two regions of fundamental functional importance: the anti-codon, which is responsible for specific mRNA codon recognition, and the 3' end, to which the tRNAs corresponding amino acid is attached (by aminoacyl-tRNA synthetases). tRNAs cope with the degeneracy of the genetic code in two manners: having more than one tRNA (with a specific anti-codon) for a particular amino acid; and 'wobble' base-pairing, i.e. permitting non-standard base-pairing at the 3rd anti-codon position. The record is from Rfam by way of RNAcentral. Lineage: Eukaryota; Metazoa; Chordata; Mammalia; Rodentia; Heteromyidae.